ACUAUUCUACCCUAGUUCAUCAGAAUUCAAUGCAGCUGCGGUCUUGGCAGACUUGUAAACGGAUUUUUUCAAGUUUUAAUUAUGAAUUUUCCUUCCAGAGGGUUGCUCAUCUGUGUAUUCGUGGAGAAUGGUAACUGCUACGCUGGUUUUUGGUCUAGUGUGGACAGCUGGACACCUGUCAACACAGAUCACAUGAAACUUCCAAGAACUCUUUCAGAAAGUGUUAGGACAACGCACAACUCGAAUAUCUUAUACCUGGAUUCCCGUAAGGUUCGAGUAGGUACGCAUUUUAUUACCAGUACCCAAAAAUGCCUGUUCAGUUUGCUGAAGUUUACUGAAGAUUUUGAACGGAUUUUGGGAAAGUUCAAAGACCUGAUGUAGUGGAGAAGAGACCAGCGAGAUUGAAGAUGGCAGUAAGAAUAGUUCGUAUCACCCUUCAAGGUUAAGGGUAGUACAGGAAAUUUCAAGAUUUCUGGAUAUCUCGUCGUAAUGCACACCAUGAGGAAUCUACUACCAAGAACAUUUUGACUACCUCCUCCGCUUCAUGGAGAAAGGGACAGGAUGGUCUUGCAUUUGAUCACAGUAAUUUUUAACUGUCUAGCGAUGUUCUUAAUUUGAUUUUAGAAUUUAGAGGGGUUCUUAAAUUUAUUUUAGAUUUUAAAAUUAACAUUACUAUGGCAGUUUUCCAGUUAUUAUGAAGUCUUGCUAAUAAAUCUUUUUGUAUGUUUAAUGUUAAACUAAGCAUAAUUAAGAUCUGGCUUGUUAUUAUAAUACAAAAUUAUGGACUAAUGAAAAAAGGUUAGUUUUAACUAAACUUUUGCAACUGCUGUGGAAACUUUGGAAUAUUCCAAAACUCAGGAGGAGAAUACUCGGGACCAUGGUGUAAAUAACAGAAUUUAACAAAUGUCCUUCUGUAUGUGUAAAAUACUCUUCUGUAUGCUGAAAAUAAACUAUUUAGUUAAUAAUUAGUCUGUACUAAAGUACAGAUUUUUUAUUUAAAGUGAAGUGCAGAUUUUUUAUUUAAAGUGAAUAACCUUUCUUUUUAUAACACCUUGGUGAGUAUAGCAAUAGAUUUGCAGUUUGUGAAAAUCUUGUUGAAUCUUAAGAAAACUCUGAACCUCUUCCAGAUUCCAAAACCUCUAACAAGAUUCCAUUCUUCGUGGCGUCGUCGCCGUCCUCUCUUCCAGAUUCCAUUCUUCUUGUCUUCUCUAAAUGAUUCCAUUCUUGUCGAUGUCCUCUCUCUUCCCGUUUCCAUUCUUCUUCUUGUCGUCCUCUCCGUUUUCAUUCUUCUUGUCUAACUCUCUUCCAGAUUCCAUUCUUAUUGUCGUCGUCUCCUCUCUUCCAGUUUCCAUUAAGACCCUUCUUCCAUGAAUACU
Macrobrachium nipponense is the source of this 1376-nucleotide long non-coding RNA. RefSeq lists it as uncharacterized. The record is from RefSeq and is a predicted model, not a curated record. Lineage: Eukaryota; Metazoa; Arthropoda; Malacostraca; Decapoda; Palaemonidae. The transcript has 3 exons.